This is a ribosomal RNA of 1075 nucleotides. It matches the Rfam family "Eukaryotic small subunit ribosomal RNA", at positions 136 to 1107 of the family's 1831-position model.
CUACUGGAUAACUGUAGUAAUUCUAGAGCUAAUACAUGCCACUAUGCCCUGACCCGCAAGGGAACGGGUGGAUUUAUUAGAACAGAACCAACCUGGGUCGAUUUCGGUCGUCCCUGUUGCUUUCUGUGAUGACUCUGGAUAACUUCACUGAUCGCAGUCGGCCUUGUGUCGGCGACGGAUCUUUCAAAUGUCUGCCCUAUCAAUUUUCGAUGGUAGGUGACCUGCCUACCAUGGUGCUAACGGGUAACGGGGAAUCAGGGUUCGAUUCCGGAGAGGGAGCCUGAGAAACGGCUACCACUUCCAAGGAAGGCAGCAGGCACGCAAAUUACCCAAUCCCGGCACGGGGAGGUAGUGACGAAAAAUACGGAUACGGGACUCACUUGAGGCUCCGUAAUUCGAAUGAGUACAAUUUAAAUCCUUUAACGAGGACCAACUGGAGGGCAAGUCUGGUGCCAGCAGCCGCGGUAACUCCAGCUCCAGAAGCGUAUAUUAAAGUUGUUGCAGUUAAAAAGCUCGUAGUUGGAUCUGGGUUGCAUGGCUACAUGCCGUCGCUCGUGUGUCUGCUACUACCGUGGUGGGCAUAUGAGUCGGUUUCGUGGUUGUGCUUCCUUUCUGCUGUGUCUGUUUACAGGUGUCAGCGUGGUUGGUUGGCUUGCCUGCCGACCUGUUGGCAUGCUUCUUGAUGCCCUUAACCGGGUGUCGGAGGCGGACAGCACGUUUACUUUGAACAAAUCUGAGUGCUCAAAGCAGGCCUUUGUGCCUGAAAGUUCUUGCAUGGAAUAAUGGAAUAGGACUUCGGUUCUAUUUUGUUGGUUUUCGGAUCCGAAGUAAUGGUUAAGAGGGACAGACGGGGGCAUUUGUAUGGCGGUGUUAGAGGUGAAAUUCUUGGAUCGCCGCCAGACAAACUACAGCGAAAGCAUUUGCCAAGGAUGUUUUCAUUGAUCUUGAGCGAAAGUCAGAGGUUCGAAGACGAUCAGAUACCGUCCUAGUUCUGACCAUAAACGAUGCCAACUGACGAUCCGUGGUGGUUCUUUAUGUGUCCCCACGGGCAGUCCCCGGGAAACCCUUAAGUCUU